RNAcentral lists this ribosomal RNA (225 nucleotides) under Triticum aestivum (bread wheat). RNAcentral describes it as "partial small subunit ribosomal RNA". The record is from RNAcentral. Lineage: Eukaryota; Viridiplantae; Streptophyta; Magnoliopsida; Poales; Poaceae.
AUGAAAAUGAUCAGUUGGAACUGUAGAGGGCUGGGUCGGCCUCGUACAGUUCAAGAAUUAGUUUGUAUUAAUAAAUCUUACCUACCCAACAUCAUUUUUCUUUCUGAGACUAGGCAAAAUAAAGAUUAUGUUGAAAGUUUGCGGUACCGUUUGGGUAUGAAAAAUGUAUUUUCUGUUUCGGGUAAAGGCAAAGGUGGUGGUUUAAAGAUUUUCUGGGAUGAUAGC